CCUUACUGCUAUCGGGGUGAGACUAAGCCAUGCAAGUUGCGCGCUUCUAAGCUAUGGUAGUGGAGCAGCGUAAGGCUCAGUAAAACAUGGUUAACUUGCCCUCGAGACGGGAAUACCCCCGGGAAACUGGGGAUAAAUCCCGAUAGGCGAGAUGGCUUGGAAUUAUAUCUCGUCUAAAAAACGUUAAGACCAUGCUUCUUUUCGUUGCUCGAGGAUAGGACCAUGUCCGAUCAGGCUGUUGGCGAGGUAACGGCUCACCAAACCUAUAACCGGUACGGGCCGUGAGAGCGGGAGCCCGGAGAUGGAUCCUGAGACAAGGAUCCAGGCCCUACGGGGCGCAGCAGGCGCGAAAACUCCGCAAUGCGCGAAAGCGUGACGGGGUCACCCCGAGUGUCACCUGCUGAAGGUAACUUUUCCUCAGUCUAAUCAGCUGAGGGUAAUAAGGGGAGGGCAAGUCUGGUGUCAGCCGCCGCGGUAAUACCAGCUCCCCGAGUGGUGAGGACGAUUAUUGGGCCUAAAGCGUCCGUAGCUGGCUUGAUAAGUUUCCCGUUAAAUCCGCCGAUCCAAUCGUCGGGCUGCGGGAAAUACUGUUAAGCUAGGAGGCGGGAGAGGCCGGCGGUACUUUUGGGGUAGGGGUGAAAUCCUAUAAUCCCAAGAGGACCACCAGUGGCGAAGGCGACCGGCCAGAACGCACUCGACGGUGAGGGACGAAAGCUGGGGGAGCAAACCGGAUUAGAUACCCGGGUAGUCCCAGCUGUAAACGAUGCGGGCUAAGUGUCGGGAUGGCCAUAGAGCCAUCUCGGUGCUGCAGGGAAGCCGUUAAGCCCGCCGCCUGGGGAGUACGGCCGCAAGGUUGAAACUUAAAGGAAUUGGCGGGGGAGCACCACAAGGGGUGAAGCUUGCGGUUC
Molecule: ribosomal RNA, 908 nt
Filed under: uncultured archaeon
Lineage: Archaea
Description: bacterial SSU rRNA
Rfam family: Archaeal small subunit ribosomal RNA
Source: RNAcentral